Molecule: transfer RNA, 85 nt
Filed under: Dreissena polymorpha
Lineage: Eukaryota; Metazoa; Mollusca; Bivalvia; Myida; Dreissenidae
Rfam family: tRNA
About the family: Transfer RNA (tRNA) molecules are approximately 80 nucleotides in length. Their secondary structure includes four short double-helical elements and three loops (D, anti-codon, and T loops).
Source: Rfam by way of RNAcentral
GCCGGAAUAGCUCAGUUGGGAGAGCGUUAGACUGAAGGCUGCAACAAUCAUCUAAAGGCCCCCGGUUAAAUCCCGUGUUCCGGCA